UUUUCCAUUCAAAAUAAAAUUUCCUUUCAAAUAAAAAACAGGGCCAUUAAUGAGAAAAAAAUUUCUCUUCUUUAAAUAAAUUUUUUAUUUGAAUCAAAAAAAUUAGUGCUUUAAAAAACAGAAUUUUAUGAAUUGAUCCAGGGACAAUGAAAUAAUUCUUAAAUAAAAACUAACAAUUUCUCUGAAAAAAGAAUUUUUUUGACAUAAAAAAUUUCUAAUUCAAAAAAUCGGAGAAAUAUUUCCUAUAGGUCGCUAGCUUCUAGCCAUGGUGUGAGUUUUCAGAAAUGCAAAAUAAAAUUUUCCCAUAGUUCGAUAACUUCAAGCCAUGUUUAAAGUUUUCAAACUUUUCAAAAAAAUUUUUCCCAUACUUCGAUAGUUUCUAGCCAUGGUUUAAGUUUUUAAAAUAAAAAAAAAAAUUCCCAUACUUUGUUAGCUUUUAGCCAUGGUUCAAGUUGUCAAAAUUUUCAAAAAAAAUUUUCCCAUACUUCGAUAGUUUCUAGCCAUGGUUUAAGUUUUUAAAAUUAAAAAAAAAUUCCCAUACUUCGUUAGCUUUUAGCCAUGGUUCUAGUUGUCAAAAUUUUUCAAACAAAAUUUUCCCAUACUUCGAUAGUUUCUAGCCAUGGUUUAAGUUUUUAAAAUUAAAAAAAAAUUCCCAUACUUCGUUAGCUUUUAGCCAUGGUUCUAGUUGUCAAAAUUUUCAAAAAAAAAUUUCCUAUACUUCGAUAGUUUCUAGCCAUGGUUUAAGUUUUUCAAAUAAAAAAAAAUCCCCAUACUUCGUUAGCUUUUAGCCAUGGUUCAAGUUGUCAAAAUUUUCAAAAAUAUUUUCCCAUACUUCGAUAGUUUCUAGCCAUGGUUUAAUUUUUAAAAUUAAAAAAAAAUUCCCAUACUUCGUUAGCUUUUAGCCAUGGUUCUAGUUGUCAAAAUUUUCAAAAAAAAAUUUCCCAUACUUCGAUAGUUUCUAGCCAUGGUUGAAGUUUUUCAAAUAAAAAAAAAAUUCCCAUACUUCGUUAGCUUUUAGCUAUGGUUCAAGUUGUCAAAAUUUUCAAAAAUAUUUUCCCAUACUUCGAUAGUUUCUAGCCAUGGUUUAAGUUUUUAAAAUUAAAAAAAAAUUCCCAUACUUCGUUAGCUUUUAGCCAUGGUUCUAGUUGUCAAAAU
Molecule: long non-coding RNA, 1155 nt
Organism: Leptopilina boulardi
Lineage: Eukaryota; Metazoa; Arthropoda; Insecta; Hymenoptera; Figitidae
Exons: 2
Source: RefSeq, a predicted model, not a curated record